RNAcentral lists this unclassified non-coding RNA (332 nucleotides) under soil metagenome. RNAcentral's name for it is "partial contains 5.8S ribosomal RNA, internal transcribed spacer 2, and large subunit ribosomal RNA". The stretch from base 1 to 120 matches the Rfam family "5.8S ribosomal RNA", at positions 35 to 154 of the family's 154-position model. The record is from RNAcentral.
GAUGAAGAACGCAGCGAAAUGCGAUACGUAAUGUGAAUUGCAGAUUUCAGUGAAUCAUCGAAUCUUUGAACGCACAUUGCGCCUGCUAGUAUUCUGGCGGGCAUGCCUGUUCGAGCGUCAUUUCAACCAUCAAGCCCUAGGCUUGCGUUGGAGCCCUGCGGCUGCCGCAGGCUCCCAAAUCCAGUGGCGGGCUCGUCGUCGUACCGAGUGCAGUAAACAUCCUCGCUCAGGGAACGUGACGGGUUCUUGCCGUGAAACCCCCCACAUAUCAAGGUUGACCUCGGAUCAGGUAGGAAUACCCGCUGAACUUAAGCAUAUCAAUAAGCGGAGGA